AAAACUGGCGAAAGUUCUUUCUAGAAAGUGAGUAGUAAGCGAUAAUGAAUAUGAAUCACUACGGAUUAUAAAGUCGCUAUUGAUUGGGUUUGCUUGGUAACGCAAUUCUCGCAAAAUUCACUUUUGAAAAUUGCUACUGAAAACAGCUGGUCGAAAUGCAUCACGAUGAAAUGAAACGAUUGUUCAUCCAAAUAAACAAUUUUAUUGUAUUGAUUCGACGUUGAACUUGUUAACUCGAACGACAUGCCAGACAGAAAAAUAUCAUUCAACAUGUUGUGACAGCAUUAGAUGCUCUUGAAAUAAUGACUCAAUUGAAAUUAGUUGUUGAAGGUCGAUUGAAAGAUAAAUUUCGUUCAUCUGCAUUUCGUGAUGAGAUGGAAAUGAUAAGAGAAUUUCUUCUCGAUUUUGAAGAAAAAGCGCAAAAACGUCCAAAUGGAGAUUGAUGAAGAGGACUUAAAUGACAUUUUUGAAGAAUUUUACAGCGAUUGCAUCGAAUAUUUAUCGUUAUGGAUUGAACCAUUGCUCCCAAUAAAAAUGUGGUCGUGAGCUUCUUUGCGAAAGGUACUCGAAUGGGAAGACGUUCAGCCGUGCGUGGAUGAAUUGAUGAAAAAGAAGUUGUUCGGUGAAUCUGAUGAUCUUAAGGUCCACGCAACGUCAAAUUGAUGAUUGAAAAAUUAUUGCCGAAUUGGGAAAACACGAAAACCACUCCCGAAAACCGACGGAUUGAAGUUCUACAAUUGCUUCGUAGCAAAAAUGUUUCUUUCAACAAGUUUUUCAAAGUGGUUGAAUACGCCAUGGUCAUGCCCGGAACGAGUGCAGUGUGUGAACGAUUAUUUUCAUUGAUAAAGAAUUACUGGACUGACAAGAAAAGUCAGCUGACCAUGGAUACUUUGAACUGCUGGCUAGCAAUCAAACACAAUUGCGGAAUGACUUGCUCGGAGUUCCAUAAAUACAUAUUGACACAACCAGAAUUGCUACAGAAAGUCAAAUCAAGAGAAAAAUAUUAAAAUGAAUAACAUAAAGUAUAAGUUUGAACUGUAUUUUUCUUUUUUUGUCAUUAAAUAUCAUU
Sitodiplosis mosellana (orange wheat blossom midge) is the source of this 1069-nucleotide long non-coding RNA. RefSeq lists it as uncharacterized. Lineage: Eukaryota; Metazoa; Arthropoda; Insecta; Diptera; Cecidomyiidae. The transcript is spliced from 3 exons. The record is from RefSeq and is a predicted model, not a curated record.